GCUAGUUUUAGCCAAUGAGCACCAGCAUUAGCGAAAGAGUGCUGAGUGUUUUGUGUAUUGUAUUUGUCACUCUGUUUUUGUAACUGCCUGUCCAUUUUUGUCACGCAUGAUGUGGUUGUGCUUUUCUUUUGUGAUGUAAUUUGUCCAUCUGGGCCACCGUACACCAGUGCUUCCACCAGACAGUUUUGUUUGUUUUCACCGCUGACCUCGUCGUUCAUCAGCCAGUGAAGCUACUAUCAGUUAUUUCCUGCCGCAUGUGACGCCUGUGUUACGCUAAUGCUAGCAGAAGCACGCAUUCUCUGGACUUCCUUCCCAGGCGACUUCCCACUUCUUGACGGCUGCGCUCCACACCUGCAGAGGAGCCACAUCCAGAAUUGAUUACAGUGACAUUUACUAUUCAUAGGAACGUUACUGGGGUAACACGAGCUUUGCUGUUUAAGUGGAACAUUAGGAUUGAACAAACGCUCAUCUGGCAAACUUGUUUUAACGCGAUGAAUGUUGUUUACAUCGCUAGCUCGACUGCUUUCAGAAAACCCAGCGCCGCAGCAGCAGCUCUGCUCACUCAAAUGUAUGUGAACUUUCUGCAAACAAAUCCUGGCAUGGCAGCGUGCGGAGCAGCCAGGAGGACGGGAACAUGGAGGUGUGCGAGCGAGUGGGCGGUGAACUGAGAGGCCUCCGAGGAGACGGGGCUCCGUGUUGGCUGCAGUCCACCGAAAGGCAGCAGAACAAGCUAGAGAAGCAAGAGUGUGGUCUUCUUUAAGUCUUCCUUCCGCCCCUGAAAAACCAGCUUGUGACAUUUGAAGUAUAAUUGACAUUGGAGCUCCCCCCCCCGCCCGGUCCAUCUCCUG
Molecule: long non-coding RNA, 848 nt
Organism: Synchiropus splendidus (mandarinfish)
Lineage: Eukaryota; Metazoa; Chordata; Actinopteri; Syngnathiformes; Callionymidae
Exons: 3
Source: RefSeq, a predicted model, not a curated record